RNAcentral lists this non-coding RNA (28 nucleotides) under Homo sapiens (human). Lineage: Eukaryota; Metazoa; Chordata; Mammalia; Primates; Hominidae. The record is from RNAcentral.
UGGAAUGUCAGAUUUUAUUGAGUGCAUU